RNAcentral lists this ribosomal RNA (117 nucleotides) under Cohnella endophytica. Lineage: Bacteria; Bacillati; Bacillota; Bacilli; Caryophanales; Paenibacillaceae. The record is from RNAcentral.
UUUGGUGGCAACGGCGGAGGGGUUCCACGCGUACCCAUCCCGAACACGACCGUUAAGACCUCCAGCGCCGAUGGUACUUGGACCGCAGGGUCCUGGGAGAGUAGGACGUCGCCAAGC